UCAUAAACAUACUGCUAAAAAUUCUAAACUUCAGGUCUAAUAAUAUAAACUACAUCUAAGUAUUUUGCAGUCCACAGGAUAAUUGAGGGAAGUUAGUUCUGAGAUGAUGAAAAUAAUAUAUGGUCUCAAAGGAAGUCGGCCUCAUUGUGAACAAGACGAAAUCCCGCUUUAUAUAAACCAAGGCAGGUUGGAAAAGUCCAGAAGCAAAUUUUAGAAGAAAAAUAUUGUACUGAAUAACUACAAUGGGCCAUUGAAGAAGAGAAGACGGCACAAGAGGGAAAUAUGGGCCUUAGAAAAAGAUAUCACGCCUCUAUCCCAUAAAGAGGUAGGCAGAGCACAUGAACUACUAAGUUUCUGUGCCACUCUUGGCAAAAAGGGGUGGAAAGAAAUCCAAAUUAUGACAUUGAAGAAGUGAAGACUAAAUAAGUAAACCAAAGGCCCCAAGAAUAUAAAAGACUGCAAUGAAAUUGUCAAGAAGAGGGUGCGAGAGCAGAA
Molecule: long non-coding RNA, 495 nt
Filed under: Leguminivora glycinivorella
Lineage: Eukaryota; Metazoa; Arthropoda; Insecta; Lepidoptera; Tortricidae
Description: uncharacterized LOC125239633
Source: RNAcentral